GACGAACGCUGGCGGCGUGCUUAACACAUGCAAGUCGAACGGACAGGCCCUGCUCUUGUGGGGUGCUCGAGUGGCGAACGGGUGAGUAACACGUGAGUAACCUGCCCUUGACUUUGUGAUAACUUCAGGAAACUGGGGCUAAUACCGGAUAGGAGCUCCUGCUGCAUGGUGGGGGUUGGAAAGUUUCGGCGGUUGGGGCUGGACUCGCGGCUUAUCAGCUUGUUGGUGGGGUAGUGGCUUACCAAGGCUUUGACGGGUAGCCGGCCUGAGAGGGUGAACGGCCACAUUGGGACUGAGAUACGGCGCAGACGCCUACGGGAGGCAGCAGUGGAGAAUAUUGCACAGUGGGCGGAAGCCUGAUGCAACAACGCCGCGUGCGUGAUGCCGGGCUUCGGGUUGUAAACCGCUUUCGCCUGUGACGAAGCGUGAGUGACGGUAAUGGGUAAAGAAGCACCGGCUAACUACGUG
This 468-nucleotide ribosomal RNA is filed under the name uncultured bacterium. Its description in RNAcentral is "partial 16S ribosomal RNA". It matches the Rfam family "Bacterial small subunit ribosomal RNA", at positions 28 to 507 of the family's 1533-position model. The record is from RNAcentral.